AACUUUUAAGUUUUACAAUAAAUUUUCAGAGGAAAUACAAAUAGAGUGUCCAGCAGCACACACACACUGCCUGUGGUUGCUUUCAUACACACAGUGUGUACUCCGCCAUGGAUGGAGGAGGGAUGGAGGUGGGACACUUUCUAUUUUCUGACACUUUUUCCUUCGCCUUUUUCCUUGGCUUUCCGAUAUGUCCUUAAAGGUUUGACACUCGUGGUACUGACUAAAUCAGAGUAAUUCAAUGAGUGCUUAACGUUUAAUGUUUCUAAUGUAUAUUAACGAAGCAUUUUAGAUUCUUGUUUUUUACGCAGGGUUUUCUCUUAUUUCAUAUAUAUUUUUCAGUUUCAAACGCAUCCAUAAUCAAGAAAAUGUAUUCCAAUCUCAAUAAACACUGAAACGGAUUUCCAUUUGACAAAGGGUUUUCCUUGGCUUUGGUCCCGCCUCUGUUAACUUUUCAUAAGUGUCAUGGUGCAAAUCAUUGUAAAAUGUUUACUAAUUGUAAUUUAUCCGACUCCCAUAGUCUAACAUAGUUGGGGCUAUGUGUGCAUUGCAUUUCAAAAGCUGCAAAAUUCAGCUCGCCAUAAAAAUACACAAAGAGCGUGCAAAUAUUUGAGAUAAAAAGCGGAUUUAUGCAGAGCCAAGGAAAAAAUGAAGGAUUAACCUGAAUAAAUACAAAGCAAUUGUGGAAAUUGUGCCAGGACCAAGAGAACCGGCUCCCCCAAAGGAAUGUCAUAUUGAAUAAGAAAUUCCCAGCCGCUGAGACUGGAGGCUCUGGGGAGUUCAGCCGACCGCAAUGAUCUAAUGCCGCCAAGACUGAGUAAUAAAAAUAAAAAUGAAGCCACCGGAUACCGGAUGACAAGGGCAAAGCAAAACAAUGAAAGGAAUUAAAAGUGAAGAGUAAAGUGAGGGAAAAGCGAAAGUCCAGCGUUCCGACUGAGAGACAUUAUGUUUUCUAUUGCACAAAUACAUUAUACAAUAACUAAAAAUAA
Molecule: long non-coding RNA, 986 nt
Organism: Drosophila serrata
Lineage: Eukaryota; Metazoa; Arthropoda; Insecta; Diptera; Drosophilidae
Source: RefSeq, a predicted model, not a curated record